UACAGAGGUCCCGAGCGUUGUUCGGAAUUACUGGGCGUAAAGGGCGCGUAGGCGGCCUUCUAAGUCAGACGUGAAAUCCCCCGGCUUAACCUGGGAACUGCGUCUGAUACUGGGAGGCUUGAGUAUGGGAAAGGGAUGUAGAAUUCCAGGUGUAGCGGUGAAAUGCGUAGAUAUCUGGAGGAAUACCGGUGGCGAAGGCGGCAUCCUGGACCAUAACUGACGCUGAGGCGCGAAAGCUAGGGGAGCAAACGGG
This 253-nucleotide ribosomal RNA is filed under the name uncultured bacterium. RNAcentral describes it as "partial 16S ribosomal RNA". It matches the Rfam family "Bacterial small subunit ribosomal RNA", at positions 524 to 776 of the family's 1533-position model. The record is from RNAcentral.